CGGACGGGUGAGUAACGCGUGGGUAACCUGCCUCAUACAGGGGGAUAACGGUUAGAAAUGACUGCUAAUACCGCAUAAGCGCACAGUACCACAUGGUACGGUGUGAAAAACUCCGGUGGUAUGAGAUGGACCCGCGUCUGAUUAGCUAGUUGGUGAGGUAACGGCCCACCAAGGCGACGAUCAGUAGCCGACCUGAGAGGGUGACCGGCCACAUUGGGACUGAGACACGGCCCAG
Molecule: ribosomal RNA, 235 nt
Filed under: uncultured bacterium
Lineage: Bacteria
Description: partial 16S ribosomal RNA
Rfam family: Bacterial small subunit ribosomal RNA
Source: RNAcentral